GGGUUGUGAGGUUAAGCGACUAAGCGUACACGGUGGAUGCCCUGGCAGUCAGAGGCGAUGAAGGACGUGCUAAUCUGCGAAAAGCGUCGGUAAGGUGAUAUGAACCGUUAUAACCGGCGAUGUCCGAAUGGGGAAACCCAGUGUGAUUCGUCACACUAUCGUUAACUGAAUACAUAGGUUAACGAGGCGAACCGGGGGAACUGAAACAUCUAAGUACCCCGAGGAAAAGAAAUCAACCGAGAUUCCCCCAGUAGCGGCGAGCGAACGGGGAGCAGCCCAGAGUCUGAAUCAGCUUGUGUGUUAGUGGAACGGUCUGGAAAGUCCGACGGUACAGGGUGAUAGUCCCGUACACCAAAAUGCACAGGCUGUGAACUCGAAGAGUAGGGCGGGACACGUGGUAUCCUGUCUGAAUAUGGGGGGACCAUCCUCCAAGGCUAAAUACUCCUGACUGACCGAUAGUGAACCAGUACCGUGAGGGAAAGGCGAAAAGAACCCCGGCGAGGGGAGUGAAAAAGAACCUGAAACCGUGUACGUACAAGCAGUGGGAGCACCUUCGGGUGUGACUGCGUACCUUUUGUAUAAUGGGUCAGCGACUUAUAUUCUGUAGCAAGGUUAACCGUAUAGGGGAGCCGCAGGGAAACCGAGUCUUAACUGGGCGUUAAGUUGCAGGGUAUAGACCCGAAACCCGGUGAUCUAGCCAUGGGCAGGUUGAAGGUUGGGUAACACUAACUGGAGGACCGAACCGACUAAUGUUGAAAAAUUAGCGGAUGACUUGUGGCUGGGGGUGAAAGGCCAAUCAAACCGGGAGAUAGCUGGUUCUCCCCGAAAGCUAUUUAGGUAGCGCCUCGUGAACUCAUCUUCGGGGGUAGAGCACUGUUUCGGCUAGGGGGUCAUCCCGACUUACCAACCCGAUGCAAACUACGAAUACCGAAGAAUGUUAUCACGGGAGACACACGGCGGGUGCUAACGUCCGUCGUGAAGAGGGAAACAACCCAGACCGCCAGCUAAGGUCCCAAAGUCAUGGUUAAGUGGGAAACGAUGUGGGAAGGCACAGACAGCCAGGAUGUUGGCUUAGAAGCAGCCAUCAUUUAAAGAAAGCGUAAUAGCUCACUGGUCGAGUCGGCCUGCGCGGAAGAUGUAACGGGGCUAAACCAUGCACCGAAGCUGCGGCAGCGACACUAUGUGUUGUUGGGUAGGGGAGCGUUCUGUAAGCCUGCGAAGGUGUGCUGUGAGGCAUGCUGGAGGUAUCAGAAGUGCGAAUGCUGACAUAAGUAACGAUAAAGCGGGUGAAAAGCCCGCUCGCCGGAAGACCAAGGGUUCCUGUCCAACGUUAAUCGGGGCAGGGUGAGUCGACCCCUAAGGCGAGGCCGAAAGGCGUAGUCGAUGGGAAACAGGUUAAUAUUCCUGUACUUGGUGUUACUGCGAAGGGGGGACGGAGAAGGCUAUGUUAGCCGGGCGACGGUUGUCCCGGUUUAAGCAUGUAGGCUGGUUGUCCAGGCAAAUCCGGAUAAUCAAGGCUGAGGUGUGAUGACGAGGCACUACGGUGCUGAAGUAACAAAUGCCCUGCUUCCAGGAAAAGCCUCUAAGCAUCAGGUAACAUCAAAUCGUACCCCAAACCGACACAGGUGGUCAGGUAGAGAAUACCAAGGCGCUUGAGAGAACUCGGGUGAAGGAACUAGGCAAAAUGGUGCCGUAACUUCGGGAGAAGGCACGCUGGUGUGUAGGUGAAGCCCCUGCGGGUGGAGCUGAGACCAGUCGAAGAUACCAGCUGGCUGCAACUGUUUAUUAAAAACACAGCACUGUGCAAACACGAAAGUGGACGUAUACGGUGUGACGCCUGCCCGGUGCCGGAAGGUUAAUUGAUGGGGUUAUCCGUAAGGAGAAGCUCUUGAUCGAAGCCCCGGUAAACGGCGGCCGUAACUAUAACGGUCCUAAGGUAGCGAAAUUCCUUGUCGGGUAAGUUCCGACCUGCACGAAUGGCGUAAUGAUGGCCAGGCUGUCUCCACCCGAGACUCAGUGAAAUUGAACUCGCUGUGAAGAUGCAGUGUACCCGCGGCAAGACGGAAAGACCCCGUGAACCUUUACUAUAGCUUGACACUGAACAUUGAGCCUUGAUGUGUAGGAUAGGUGGGAGGCUUUGAAGCGUGGACGCCAGUCUGCGUGGAGCCAACCUUGAAAUACCACCCUUUAAUGUUUGAUGUUCUAACGUUGGCCCCUUACCGGGGUUGCGGACAGUGUCUGGUGGGUAGUUUGACUGGGGCGGUCUCCUCCCAAAGCGUAACGGAGGAGCACGAAGGUUAGCUAAUCCUGGUCGGACAUCAGGAGGUUAGUGCAAUGGCAUAAGCUAGCUUGACUGCGAGCGUGACGGCGCGAGCAGGUGCGAAAGCAGGUCAUAGUGAUCCGGUGGUUCUGAAUGGAAGGGCCAUCGCUCAACGGAUAAAAGGUACUCCGGGGAUAACAGGCUGAUACCGCCCAAGAGUUCAUAUCGACGGCGGUGUUUGGCACCUCGAUGUCGGCUCAUCACAUCCUGGGGCUGAAGUAGGUCCCAAGGGUAUGGCUGUUCGCCAUUUAAAGUGGUACGCGAGCUGGGUUUAGAACGUCGUGAGACAGUUCGGUCCCUAUCUGCCGUGGGCGCUGGAGAAUUGAGGGGGGCUGCUCCUAGUACGAGAGGACCGGAGUGGACGCAUCACUGGUGUUCGGGUUGUCAUGCCAAUGGCACUGCCCGGUAGCUAAAUGCGGAAGAGAUAAGUGCUGAAAGCAUCUAAGCACGAAACUUGCCCCGAGAUGAGUUCUCCCUGAGACUUUAAGUCUCCUGAAGGAACGUUAAAGACGAUGACGUUGAUAGGCCGGGUGUGUAAGCGCAGCGAUGCGUUGAGCUAACCGGUACUAAUGAACCGUGAGGCUUAACCUUACAACGCCGAAG
Molecule: ribosomal RNA, 2923 nt
Filed under: Klebsiella pneumoniae
Lineage: Bacteria; Pseudomonadati; Pseudomonadota; Gammaproteobacteria; Enterobacterales; Enterobacteriaceae
Also listed under: 1 other name
Description: 23S ribosomal RNA
Rfam family: Bacterial large subunit ribosomal RNA
Source: RNAcentral